This is a non-coding RNA of Brachypodium distachyon (stiff brome), 120 nucleotides long. The record is from Rfam. NCBI's taxonomy places the organism in Eukaryota, Viridiplantae, Streptophyta, Magnoliopsida, Poales, Poaceae.
AUGUUACUCCCUCCGAUCCAUAUUACUUGUCGCAACUUUGUUUAAAUACGCAUGUACCUACACAAUGAAACACGUCUAGACAAAGCUGCGACAAGUAAUAUGGAUCGGAGGGAGUAUUUU